Molecule: ribosomal RNA, 102 nt
Filed under: uncultured bacterium
Lineage: Bacteria
Description: partial 16S ribosomal RNA
Source: RNAcentral
CCGGCGUGGUAGGGACGGAAGGACUUUCUUGAGUUGUAAACCUCCUUUCAGCAGGGACGAUUGUGACGGUACCUGCAGAAGAAGCCCCGGCCAACUACGUGC